GAUGAAGAACGUAGCGAAAUGCGAUAAGUAAUGUGAAUUGCAGAAUUCAGUGAAUCAUCGAAUCUUUGAACGCACAUUGCGCCCUCUGGUAUUCCGGGGGGCAUGCCUGUUCGAGCGUCAUUAUAACCACUCAAGCUCUCGCUUGGUAUUGGGGUUCGCGGUUUCGCGGCCCCUAAAAUCAGUGGCGGUGCCUGUCGGCUCUACGCGUAGUAAUACUCCUCGCGAUUGAGUCCGGUAGGUCUACUUGCCAGCAACCCCUAAUUUUUUUUAAGGUUGACCUCGGAUCAGGUAGGGAUACCCGCUGAACUUAAGCAUAUCAAUAGCGGAGGA
Molecule: unclassified non-coding RNA, 330 nt
Filed under: soil metagenome
Description: partial contains 5.8S ribosomal RNA, internal transcribed spacer 2, and large subunit ribosomal RNA
Rfam family: 5.8S ribosomal RNA (bases 1-120)
Source: RNAcentral